Molecule: ribosomal RNA, 273 nt
Filed under: uncultured bacterium
Lineage: Bacteria
Description: partial 16S ribosomal RNA
Rfam family: Bacterial small subunit ribosomal RNA
Source: RNAcentral
UACGUAGGGUGCGAGCGUUAAUCGGAAUUACUGGGCGUAAAGCGUGCGCAGGCUGUUUUGUAAGUCAGAUGUGAAAUCCCCGAGCUCAACUUGGGAACUGCGUUUGAAACUACAAGACUAGAAUAUGUCAGAGGGGGGUAGAAUUCCACGUGUAGCAGUGAAAUGCGUAGAGAUGUGGAGGAAUACCAAUGGCGAAGGCAGCCCCCUGGGAUAAUAUUGACGCUCAUGCACGAAAGCGUGGGGAGCAAACAGGAUUAGAAACCCCCGUAGUCC